GAUGAACGCUGGCGGCGUGCCUAAUACAUGCAAGUCGAGCGAACGGACGAGAAGCUUGCUUCUCUGAUGUUAGCGGCGGACGGGUGAGUAACACGUGGAUAACCUACCUAUAAGACUGGGAUAACUUCGGGAAACCGGAGCUAAUACCGGAUAAUAUUUUGAACCGCAUGGUUCAAAAGUGAAAGACGGUCUUGCUGUCACUUAUAGAUGGAUCCGCGCUGCAUUAGCUAGUGUAGUAACGCUUACAAGGCAACGAUGCAUAGCCGACCUGAGAGGGUGAUCGGCCACACUGGAACUGAGACACGGUCCAGACUCCUACGGGAGGCAGCAGUAGGGAAUCUUCCGCAAUGGGCGAAAGCCUGACGGAGCAACGCCGCGUGAGUGAUGAAGGUCUUCGGAUCGUAAAACUCUGUUAUUAGGGAAGAACAUAUGUGUAAGUAACUGUGCACAUCUUGACGGUACCUAAUCAG
Molecule: ribosomal RNA, 470 nt
Filed under: uncultured bacterium
Lineage: Bacteria
Description: bacterial SSU rRNA
Rfam family: Bacterial small subunit ribosomal RNA
Source: RNAcentral